RNAcentral lists this ribosomal RNA (524 nucleotides) under uncultured bacterium. RNAcentral describes it as "partial 16S ribosomal RNA". It matches the Rfam family "Bacterial small subunit ribosomal RNA", at positions 28 to 523 of the family's 1533-position model. The record is from RNAcentral.
GACGAACGCUGGCGGCGUGCUUAACACAUGCAAGUCGAACGAGACGAUUGAAAGCUUGCUUUCGAAAGUCGAGUGGCAAACGGGUGAGUAACGCGUAGACAACCUGCCUUUGAGAUGGGGACAACAGUUCGAAAGGACUGCUAAUACCGAAUGUUGUAUAUUUUCCACAUGGAAGAUAUAUUAAAGAUGGCCUCUAUUUAUAAGCUAUCGCUCAAAGAUGGGUCUGGGUCUGAUUAGCUGGUUGGUGGGGUAACGGCCUACCAAGGCGACGAUCAGUGGCCGGUGUGAGAGGAUUAACGGCCACAUUGGGACUGAGACACGGCCCAGACUCCUACGGGAGGUAGCAGUGGGGAAUCUUCCACAAUGGACGAAAGUCUGAUGGAGCAACGCCGCGUGAGUGAAGAAGGGUUUCGGCUCGUAAAGCUCUGUUGUCGGGGACGAAUGUGCAGUAUUUGAAUAAAGUACUGUAAUGACGGUACCUGACGAGGAAGCCACGGCUAACUACGUGCCAGCCGCCGCCGUAA